RNAcentral lists this ribosomal RNA (229 nucleotides) under uncultured bacterium. RNAcentral's name for it is "partial 16S ribosomal RNA". It matches the Rfam family "Bacterial small subunit ribosomal RNA", at positions 568 to 796 of the family's 1533-position model. The record is from RNAcentral.
UCCGUAGGUGGAUAAUUAAGUCAGAGGUGAAAGUCUGCAGCUCAACUGUAGAAUUGCCUUUGAUACUGGUUGUCUUGAGUUAUUAUGAAGUAGUUAGAAUAUGUAGUGUAGCGGUGAAAUGCAUAGAUAUUACAUAGAAUACCAAUUGCGAAGGCAGAUUACUAAUAAUAUACUGACACUGAUGGACGAAAGCGUGGGGAGCGAACAGGAUUAGAUACCCUGGUAGUCC